This 253-nucleotide ribosomal RNA is filed under the name uncultured bacterium. RNAcentral's name for it is "partial 16S ribosomal RNA". It matches the Rfam family "Bacterial small subunit ribosomal RNA", at positions 524 to 776 of the family's 1533-position model. The record is from RNAcentral.
UACGUAGGGAGCAAGCGUUAUCCGGAUUCAUUGGGCGUAAAGCGCGCGUAGGCGGCUUGUUAAGCGAGAUGUGAAAGCCGGGGGCUCAACCCGCGGAUUGCAUCUCGAACUGGCAGGCUUGAGUGUGGUAGAGGAAAGUGGAAUUCCCGGUGUAGCGGUGAAAUGCGCAGAUAUCGGGAGGAACACCAGUGGCGAAGGCGGCUUUCUGGGCCACCACUGACGCUGAGGCGCGAAAGCUAGGGGAGCGAACAGG